UUGAAACUAAAAAAAUUUGGCGGUAUUUUAAUCUUAUUAGAGGAAUCUGUUCUGUAAUCGAUGUUCCACGUUUAAUUUUACUAAAAUGUUUGUAUAUCGUUGUUAAAAGAAUAAAUUUUCUAAUAUUUUAAUUAAAAUUUAUAUCAAAUCAAGGUACAGUUUAUAAUUUAGAAGAAAUGGAUUACAAUAAAAUUAUUUAGAAUUUUAAUGAAGGUGGAUUUAAUAGUAAAUAAAUUUUAAUAUAAUUAGUUGAUUAAAGUUCUAAAAUAUGU
This 272-nucleotide ribosomal RNA is filed under the name Xenopsylla robertsi. Its description in RNAcentral is "partial 12S ribosomal RNA". The record is from RNAcentral. Lineage: Eukaryota; Metazoa; Arthropoda; Insecta; Siphonaptera; Pulicidae.